AUUGAUUUUUAGUUAUUCGUGAACGUACUACGAACAAACAAAAAAAUAUUAUAGUCAAAAAAAAUUAAAUCA
This 72-nucleotide unclassified non-coding RNA is filed under the name soil metagenome. RNAcentral describes it as "partial internal transcribed spacer 1". The record is from RNAcentral.